AGUGAACGCUGGCGGUAGGCCUAACACAUGCAAGUCGAACGGCAGCACAGUAAGAGCUUGCUCUUACGGGUGGCGAGUGGCGGACGGGUGAGGAAUACAUCGGAAUCUACUUUUUCGUGGGGGAUAACGUAGGGAAACUUACGCUAAUACCGCAUACGACCUACGGGUGAAAGCAGGGGAUCUUCGGACCUUGCGCGAUUGAAUGAGCCGAUGUCGGAUUAGCUAGUUGGCGGGGUAAAGGCCCACCAAGGCGACGAUCCGUAGCUGGUCUGAGAGGAGGAUCAGCCACACUGGAACUGAGACACGGUCCAGAGUCCUACGGGAGGCAGCAGUGGGGAAUAUUGGACAAUGGGCGCAAGCCUGAUCCAGCCAUACCGCGUGGGUGAAGAAGGCCUUCGGGUUGUAAAGCCCUUUUGUUGGGAAAGAAAAGCAGCAGGUUAAUACCCCGCUGUUCUGACGGUACCCAAAGAAUAAGCACCGGCUAACUUCGUG
Molecule: ribosomal RNA, 492 nt
Filed under: uncultured bacterium
Lineage: Bacteria
Description: partial 16S ribosomal RNA
Rfam family: Bacterial small subunit ribosomal RNA
Source: RNAcentral